CCUACGGGGAGCUGCAGUGGGGAAUAUUGCACAAUGGGGGAAACCCUGAUGCAGCGACGCCGCGGGAGUGAAGAAGUAUUUCGGUAUGUAAAGCUCUAUCAGCAGGGAAGAAAAUGACGGUACCUGAUUAAGAAGCCCCGGCUACCUACGUGCCAGCAGCCGCGGUAAGACGUAGGGGGCAAGCGUUAUCCGGAUUUACUGGGUGUAACGGGAGCGUAGACGGCAGCACAAGUCUGGAGUGAAAUGCCGGGGCUUAACCCCGGAACUGCUUUGGAAACUGUGCAGCUAGAGUGCAGGAGAUGUAAGUGGAAUUCCUAGUGUAGCGGUGAAAUGCGUAGAUAUUAGGAGGAACACCAGUGGCGAAGGCGGCUUACUGGACUGUAACUGACGUUGAGGCUCGAAAGCGUGGGGAGCAAACAGGAUUAGAUACCCUAGUAGUC
RNAcentral lists this ribosomal RNA (440 nucleotides) under uncultured bacterium. Its description in RNAcentral is "partial 16S ribosomal RNA". It matches the Rfam family "Bacterial small subunit ribosomal RNA", at positions 338 to 795 of the family's 1533-position model. The record is from RNAcentral.